UCCCGUGUGGCUCAGUUGGUAGAGCAUGGUGUUUGCAACGCCAGGGUUGUGGAUUCGAUUGCCACGGGGG
This 70-nucleotide transfer RNA is filed under the name Salmo salar (Atlantic salmon). It matches the Rfam family "tRNA". Rfam says of the family: Transfer RNA (tRNA) molecules are approximately 80 nucleotides in length. Their secondary structure includes four short double-helical elements and three loops (D, anti-codon, and T loops). The record is from Rfam by way of RNAcentral. Lineage: Eukaryota; Metazoa; Chordata; Actinopteri; Salmoniformes; Salmonidae.